AUGGAGUCGAAGAGGGUGAACAUUGUUGAUUGUCUAACUGAUGAUAUAUUGGUGGAAAUCCUCUCUCGAGUGCCACCCAAGUCUUUUUGCCGCUUCAAAUGUGUGUGCAAGGCUUGGCUUGCCUUCUCCUCUGAUCCUCUCUACCGUCGGAAGCUGCCAAAAACUUCCACUGGUCUUCUCUACAAACCUCAAUACGGGUCUGCUAUUCAGCUUGUUGGCAUGUCCCCAAAUGAUGAGGAAAUUGAUGGAGCUUUUACAUUCAUCCCUCAGUACGAGCAAUUAGAACUUGUGGACUAUUGCAAUGGCCUGGUACUUUGCCGGUACAAGAGCAGAUAUACUUCUGCAGAAACUUGCCGCUUCAUUGUUUGCAACCCAGCAACACGAGAGUGGAGGACGCUGCCUAUUCUUAAUACUCCAUAUGGCCCAAAUGUCUCCCCCUAUACAGCUUUUUUGGCCUUCGAUCCAUCAUGGUCGGGAAAGUUCUAUGUCUUCAACUUUCAGGAGAAGUUAAAAAACAACUUGCCACUUGUUAUCUACAAACUUGAGGUGUUCUCGUCUGACCUAUGUGAGUGGCUUGUCGAUGAUGCAUGGAGUGGGAACCAUAGGAUAAUGGUCAAUAAACCACACAACUUUAUAGGUGGGGUGUUUCAUGUGCAUAGCAACACUAGUGAGAUUCUUGUGGUUAAAGGCUUGAGUUCUGGCAUAAUGCCAUAUCAUUAUACUAUCAAGCUGCCGGGUGACUGUUGGAAUGGUUGCUUCAGCCAAUCAAUGGGGCUUUUGCAGUGCGCAUUUCCAGAGGAGGGCGGCAGUACAAUUGCAGUUUUCACUCUUGAUGAUUAUCGUCCUUGCAAGUGGUCUCUAAAGCAUCGUUUUUGUAUGGGAGAUGCAUUUGGAAGGGACAACUUCCUUCCCAACCGAGAUUAUCUGUCCUGGUUGUGUUUUUAUCGGAUUGUUGCUCUUGACUUGGAAAGAGGGGUCCUCUUCCUCGUUGACAAGGAGUCAAAUAAGCUUUUCUCAUACAAAACUAGCACAGGGCAACUUAGUGAGAUUAAAGAUGGUCGCCUCGGUUGGACCUGGGAAUGCUUUUAUUACGUGGCAUGCUACUCAAAGCUCCCAGUGCUGAGCCGUUUAUGUGAUGUAAUUGAGUAG
This 1149-nucleotide ribosomal RNA is filed under the name Triticum aestivum (bread wheat). RNAcentral describes it as "partial small subunit ribosomal RNA". The record is from RNAcentral. Lineage: Eukaryota; Viridiplantae; Streptophyta; Magnoliopsida; Poales; Poaceae.